CCGUGCUACUUGGAACUUUUUGUUCCAGGUAGCUGAAUCUAAAACAACAACUCUCUAGAUAUCCCAAAUCCUUAUCCUCAAAUUCUUUCCAAGUGCUAUAUUGACAUGAUACCUUGUCGCUUUCUCCUGACUAUCAUUGUGAGGGACGAGUGAUGUCACUCUAAUUUCACGCCAAAUUGGUAACUAAUUUAGUUUAUUGUGGAUAGAUCGAGUUAACUUUAGUUGUAUUUUGGUGGUAGUUGUAAAGUUGAAAAGCAGUUAAUUAUUGUAUAGCCAUUACAAAACCAACCUCUUUAACGAUGGCUGUAAGGAGGCUGUCCCUUGACAUGUACACUUAUUAAUGUAUGUUUUAAUAACACUUUUUACAGUUAAUGAAUUAUGUAGUCCUUCAAGUUUUCACGAGUUGUCAUUCUUUUAUUUCAGCGGCACCUGUGCGCCCAGGAGGAUCAAAGACGCAGUCCAAGUUCCGUAGUUGUUGCAUCUCCUAGUUAGGGAGAACGGACUUCCUUUCGUGGUUCUGGAACUGGUGACAUCUCCUAGUCAGGGAGAACUGUCUUCCUUUCGUGGGUCUGGAACUGGUGACAUCUCCAAGAUCUCUCGCCGUCAAAAGCACUGAGAAAGAAGACCACUGAGGGCAUUUUUGUAUAUUUCUGAUACAUUAAUAAUUCCCUAUCUUAUCCCACUGACAUUUAAGCUCCUACUCUGGGUGGGACUGACGCUCUAGAUAGUGAGUAUCUCAUCACCAUCAUCAUCAUCACCAACCCAACUGGUUUUGUAUACAAGUUACCGUGACGGCACAAUGUUUGUACAAGAGGUGAAGGGGUAACUAAAACUUUACAGAAUUUUGCAAAAUAAUUUUUUCUUUUUAAUAUUGAGACUGUUUUGCCCUAUUAGGUUACAGCAUAUAUGUGAAAAUUAGAUAAUGUAUUUGGUUCGUUCUUGUUGCUUAUCAAUUAGUUUUUUUAGCUUGACCAUUAAACCCGUAGGCAUGCAGUAUAUAAUUUGUAAUUUUCUUAAUUUAACUAAUGUACGGUUCUCUACGAAUACUAUUCUCAUUGCCACUGUACACUAACUUAAGUCUUAACCCUUAAACUGCUAAGCUAUUUAAAGUCUUACAUUGUGUUGCACAUCUCAAAAAAAAAACUUGACAAAUUUGAUUAAAGCAGAUGGUAUUCUGGGAUUUGAACGCAGAAAGUAAUCUCGGAAAGCGGUUGAAGUAAUUUAAGGGUUAAUCCCGUACAAGUUGCAGAUAUAUAAAGUUUGUUACAUCAACAUUUUUUGCAUGACGGUCAACCUGCGCAAUCUGUUGCUCUCUCUCAGCGUGACCCGAUCCUUUUGGGCACGGAGAGUGCAGCAACUUGUGCUCUAAUGUAGCGGGUUUAAGAACUGUUUCUUACGAUGCUUUUGGGCACGGAGAGUGCAGCAACUUGUGCUCUAAUGUAGCGAGUUUAAGAACUGUCAGCGUGACCCGAUCCUUUUGGGCACGGAGAGUGCAGCAACUUGUGCUCUAAUGUAGCGAGUUUAAGAACUGUUUCUUACCAUGUUAAAAAACACAAAAAAUUUAAGAUUAAGUUUUUAACCAAAAGUUAUUCAGUAUUUGCUAAUUAUUAAAAGGUAGAGUUGAUGAUAUUGUAUAAACCUUUAUAUGCAUUAGUUUGAUAUUUUUAAUUUGAUAUUUGAAGAUUUUCAAUUUCGGUAGCAUGGGUGUAUUGAACACAGUUAAUGUACCAUCGGUCUGAUAGUUUGGUGGUCUGUAAAUAGUACCUAUAUAUAGUAUACAUACUAAUAUACACUUAUAUAUAUAUUAUAUAUAUAUAUGCACAUACGGUAUAUAUAUAUUUGUAACACAUUUCCACAGUGUGUCGAGUGUGUGUGUACGUGUGUGUGUAGAGUGGCGCACUACCUGCAGGUGUAGAGUGGCGCACUACCUGCAGGUGUAGAGUGGCGCACUACCUGCAGGUGUAGAGUGGCGCACUACCUGCAGGUGUGGAGGAAAUGACUGUAUUUUAUUGUAUGAUGUCACUUGUACAUGGCAGGUGUGAUUGUCAUAUGUACAUGACUUCUUACGGGUGUGUGGCAGACAUGAUCCGACUCUGGUAGUCGGAGAGUAGAUAGAUGUACCAGGCUCUCAAGAUAUCCGGGGAUUAUAUUUAGAACACCUGUCUGAGAACCUUCACAGCACACUGAGGGCCCCUGGGGCCAACCCAAAUGAAUUAGUAUUGCCUAAUAAAACAAUGUUCAGUUCAUCACCGUAGCUUUUGGUUCAUCAUAUUUUCGGUUGGCCUCGGAGGUAACCAGAACUAGCCUUAGAUACCUUUUGUCAAUAGGUAAAUUUUGUUUUUGAAUGUUAUCAAGUUGUCGAGGCAAACUAUGCAUUUCAUAUACACCCUCGCGCUGUGGGUUCCCUUUGAAUAGGUUUCCCCAGCAGAAGAUGACGAGGAAAGGGGGCAGCCUGUCAACACGUACGCGGAGGGGCGUUUAAUAACUUUCUAAAUCUCACUCAAGCUCUCCUAACAUUGAAGGAGAAAUUUGCUUGAAAUGAUCAUCAUUUCAUUACUGUUCAUAAUUUAGCUUAAUUGGUUUAUGGUGGAUCCCAUUUCUCAUUUCCAGUAAAGGAUAUAUUGUUUGCAUAAGCUUGGGCAUCUGAAUGGAAUGAAUAAAAGUGUAGUUUUAUGUUUUAGUAAAUAAAAUUAUUUUAAAAUAAUGAAUUACUAAAGUGCCUAAGACUGAUGACCAUAUGUGCAAUAAUUGGAUAUAAUUAUGGUAGUAAGGGCCAACAACUUAUCCUGAAAGAGUUAAGGUAUUAAAUCGCCAACUUAACCGCGAAGAAGCGCCGCCGCCGCCUCGUACGUCUGGCUCUCAACCCUGAGACUUUCCAGCACCCGUAGUAGUCCGUGAUCCAGUGAUCCUUGUGUCUGGAGUGUGAGAGGUAAGGAUCGUGUUGUGUACAGAGUAGUAUUGAUAAAUUUUCAUUACGCUUUUUCAUGAGUACCGAGAUGAAUAAAUGAUUAAAGUAC
This is a non-coding RNA of Procambarus clarkii (red swamp crayfish), 3017 nucleotides long. NCBI's taxonomy places the organism in Eukaryota, Metazoa, Arthropoda, Malacostraca, Decapoda, Cambaridae. The record is from RefSeq and is a predicted model, not a curated record.